This 468-nucleotide ribosomal RNA is filed under the name uncultured bacterium. RNAcentral describes it as "partial 16S ribosomal RNA". It matches the Rfam family "Bacterial small subunit ribosomal RNA", at positions 28 to 507 of the family's 1533-position model. The record is from RNAcentral.
GACGAACGCUGGCGGCGUGCUUAACACAUGCAAGUCGAACGGAAAGGCCCUGCUUUUGUGGGUUGCACGAGUGGCGAACGGGUGAGUAACACGUGAGUAACCUGCACUUGACAUUGGGAUAAAUUCAGGAAACUGGGUAGAAUACCGGAUAGGAGCUCCUGCUCCAUGGUGGGGGUUGGAAAGUUACGGCGGUUGGGGAUGGACUCGCGGCUUAUCAGCUUGAUUGUGGGGUAGUUGCUGACCAAGGCUUUGAGGGGUAGCCGGCCUGAGAGGGUGACCGGCGACAUUGGGACUGAGAUACGGCCCAGACUCCUACGGGAGGCAGCAGUGGGGAAUAUUGCACAAUGGGCGGAAGCCUGAUGCAGCAACGCCGCGUGCGGGAUGACGGCUUUCGGGUUGUAAACCGCUUUCGCAUGUGACGAAGAGUGCGUGACGGUAAUGAGUAAAGAAGCACCGGCUAACUACGUG